Molecule: transfer RNA, 73 nt
Filed under: Bruguierivorax albus
Lineage: Bacteria; Pseudomonadati; Pseudomonadota; Gammaproteobacteria; Enterobacterales; Bruguierivoracaceae
Description: Biostraticola sp. BGMRC 2031 tRNA-Gln
Rfam family: tRNA
About the family: Transfer RNA (tRNA) molecules are approximately 80 nucleotides in length. Their secondary structure includes four short double-helical elements and three loops (D, anti-codon, and T loops).
Source: RNAcentral
CGGGAUGUAGCCAAGUUGGUUAAGGCAAUGGAUUCUGAUUCCAUGACCGGGGGUUCAAGCCCUCCCAUCCCGU